Molecule: transfer RNA, 77 nt
Filed under: Klebsiella pneumoniae
Lineage: Bacteria; Pseudomonadati; Pseudomonadota; Gammaproteobacteria; Enterobacterales; Enterobacteriaceae
Also listed under: 1 other name
Description: tRNA-Arg
Rfam family: tRNA
About the family: Transfer RNA (tRNA) molecules are approximately 80 nucleotides in length. Their secondary structure includes four short double-helical elements and three loops (D, anti-codon, and T loops).
Source: RNAcentral
GCAUCCGUAGCUCCGCUGGAUAGAGUACUCGGCUACGAACCGAGCGGUCGGAGGUUCGAAUCCUCCCGGAUGCACCA